AAAUCUCUAUAAAUAUUCCAUACUGUGUAUAAUUUGAGUUAAAUUUGCAGGUUGAUCAUAAUUGCUGUGCCAACCAGUACCAGAGGAAGCUGGACUGGACAUCGUGGAUGGCUCUUUCAGCAAAAUGUGCAAACCUGUCUUCAAGACAUUAAGGUGAAGAGGGAGGAAAUCUGGGACAAAACCAAAGAAGUUACCAAGAACAGAAAAGAGGGACAGUUUCCCUUAGCAAAAGGAAUCUGAUCCGAAGAUAAAUGUUUUAGAUCUUCUGAAAAAUGCAGAGUCACAGGCUCUGUCUACAAUGCCUUGGAAUGGGCCUGCGCAGAAGAAGCACUGGUGCUGUAGUGCUGAGCAGUGGGGCACUCAUGUUGCUCACAUUUCAAGGAAAUUUCAUUUUCCUCAGACUAGAUCCAGUUGGCCCCAAGGUUGAACAUCCAUCAGAGAUACUGGUGAAUUCAGAGGAAAUAUUUCCUGGUCCUGUGCCAUCCAGAAAGACUCCUGUAUGUGCACUCAAAAACCUUUCCAUAAGGUGACCCAAGUACAGUGAAGGGGAACUAUUGACUCAGGUUUAAAUAGCACUCCUGAUUUGAUCUAAAAUGCCACUGCCAGUGCAACAGCAUCACAAUUCUCUUAUAGCUCAAAGAAAGUAUUGUUAUGAUUUUGAGUGAUUUCUUCCAAAGACAGCUACAUUUAAUAUCCUUAAUAUUUUUCUCACUCUUUUUCUCAGAGUAAUUGCUUGUGACAUCAGGCAUUCCAAUUUUUUUCCUAUAUUCAUCUGAUAGUACAAAACCUGCAUUCUAAUCAGUGAGCUCAGCUAUGGUCAAAAGCUGAAAAAAAGAGGACAUGACAGCUCAUACCCACUGUUCUUUUAAUGUUUCAGAGAGUACAAUAGAACUGGUCAACAUUUUUUGCUUACAAAUACUUUUGAUGGAAAAAUGAAAAGACACUGAGAGAUGAAUCAAUGCCAUAGGAAACUGUUGACAAUCAGCUGGCUGUCUGCAACCACGGUUGAUGGCAAAAAGGAUGAACUUUAAAGAAUACAGUUGUUUGAAAUAAAAGUUAAAAAAGUAACA
Molecule: long non-coding RNA, 1070 nt
Filed under: Manacus vitellinus (golden-collared manakin)
Lineage: Eukaryota; Metazoa; Chordata; Aves; Passeriformes; Pipridae
Description: lncRNA (ENSMVIG00005013170.1)
Source: RNAcentral